Long non-coding RNA from Pristis pectinata (smalltooth sawfish), 495 nucleotides. RefSeq lists it as uncharacterized. The transcript has 2 exons. The record is from RefSeq and is a predicted model, not a curated record. Lineage: Eukaryota; Metazoa; Chordata; Chondrichthyes; Rhinopristiformes; Pristidae.
GACCUCUUCCUCAUAUGAAUAUCAGGGAUGACUCGACGCAGCUUGAAGACUAUCGGAUCUCCUGCACCACAUUCCUCUCUCAAACAAUGCACUGCUCACUCAUCACGGCAGUCCCUUGGGAUUGAGGAUGACUUGCUUCCACUCCAGUUCUGUGGCUUCUGAGGGGGCUGAAGACACUAAUGUGGGAAUUGCAGACUGCCCCAGGAGGUGCUUGCUGGGGUGCGCAGCUUGGGAGGUGAUGCACUCCUUCAGCUAUUUACGUCAGACUUCCGCAGUGAAGAGUUUGGAGUAAUCACUUGUCUGCGUGAGUUUUCUCUGGGUGCUCCGGUUUCCUCCCACAUUCGAAAGGCGUACGGGUUAGGAAGUUGUGGGCACGCUAUGCUGGCGCUGGAAGCAUGGCGACACUUGCGGGCUGCCUCCAGAAUAUUCUACGCAAAAGAUGCAUUCCACUGUAUGUUUCGAUGUACACGUGACUAAUAAAGAUAUCUUAUCUUA